Small nucleolar RNA from Spea bombifrons (plains spadefoot toad), 70 nucleotides. RefSeq annotates it as small nucleolar RNA SNORD50. The record is from RefSeq and is a predicted model, not a curated record. The transcript has a single exon. Lineage: Eukaryota; Metazoa; Chordata; Amphibia; Anura; Pelobatidae.
AAACUAUGAUGAGUCUAUCCCGAACCUGAGUCACUGAUGACAAACUCUUUAUGGAUCUGACUUCUGAGUU